Molecule: ribosomal RNA, 245 nt
Filed under: uncultured bacterium
Lineage: Bacteria
Description: partial small subunit ribosomal RNA
Rfam family: Bacterial small subunit ribosomal RNA
Source: RNAcentral
AGAAUCAACGCUGGCGGCGUGCCUAACACAUGCAAGUCGAACGAGAAAGUGGAGCAAUCCAUGAGUAAAGUGGCGCACGGGUGAGUAACACGUGACUAACCUACCCUUGAGUGGGGAAUAACCUCGGGAAACCGGGCUAAUACCGCAUAACACCUACGGGUCAAAGCAGCAAUGCGCUUGGAGAGGAGUUCGCGGCCGAUUAGUUAGUUGGCGGGGUAAUGGCCCACCAAGACGAUGAUCGGUAU